Molecule: long non-coding RNA, 1242 nt
Organism: Salvia splendens (bonfire salvia)
Lineage: Eukaryota; Viridiplantae; Streptophyta; Magnoliopsida; Lamiales; Lamiaceae
Exons: 2
Source: RefSeq, a predicted model, not a curated record
AUGCAGCGGAAAUUUCUCGUAAGAGUGUAAACUGAUUAUUUGACUCAAAGCUGGGUAAAUAUCAGAUUUCUGGAAAGGCAGGGGUUCAUUUUUAUUUUUCGGACAAUCAGGAGGGUGAAAUUUAAAGACAUGGGGUCUGCUUUUAUAUUUCAUAAUUUUCUAGGGUAAAAACCGAGAAGUCCCAAACUUAAAAUUAGAGCUUGGAUUUAAUCCAAACCCUUUACCUCCUUUCGUCGUGCCGCUUCUGUUCUCCGUCCACUCGGCAAAAUUUCCGGUGCCCCUCACGUUGCCGCCGACCGGUGAAGCCUCAAUUCGGUCGGUUCCCCAUUGUUCCCAGCCUCAAUUCGUCGUGGUCCUCCAUCUCCAUUCACCUCGACCGCCAUUUUCGUUUGGGCUUGAGAUGCCCUUGCUUUCUGCCUUUCCACCCACCAAUCGGGGUAUCCAACCCUCUUGAAACAGGUCUCCCAAGUGUGUUUCUGUUUCCCGCAAUAGGAGCACCACAAUUUUGAUGUGUCGGGCUUGUUUCCCAGUCGGUUGGUGGCCGCGGAGCGCAGUGGUGGUGGGUCGUUGCGGUGUGGAGGUCGUUGGAUCUGUGCGGCUAAGCCUUGUCCGAUUUCUCCCCAAAUGAUGAAUCGACAUUGCCGUUGGCUUCGUCGGUGGGUGAGGGCGACGCCGGUGGCAUGAUUCGAUCGAGUCGCCUCCGUCUUCCUCCACUAAUGGGUGUGGAUCUUACUUCAGAAUCUCCCGUCGGAUUCAAUCAUACUCCUGAUUUAAUCUUUUCAAGAAUUUGAUGAGUCGCUUGGAGUUUGAAUAGAUGAGGUACAGAUCUGCCUUGUUCUUGAAAAUCAAUGCGAGGUUAUCCCAUAGGGCGUUCGACGUCUGGUGGUGGGCGAAGUCAGCAAUGAUGUCGUUUUCGAUGUUGUCGACAAUCCACGAGAACACCACAAGGUCGUUCUCUUCCCAUUAAUCAAAUCCCUUACUCCCCGGUUCUGGGGGAUCGUUCCUCUGCCUCCUAUCUUCACUACUUUGAUCAACCUUGCCCAUAAAGGGUAGUUUUUUCCAUUAAACUUGAAUGGCACUCUGAUGCUUUUGCUGUUUCUCAGCUGCUCCAGAUUGUCUUUUGUAUCUUUUGUAUCCACUGUAUCUGACAUAUUUUGGUGUAGGUUCGGAUUUUCUAUGUUGGUUUUGGCUGGAAAAGGGUCGAGAAUUGGUAUUAUUGGCUAUGAUUAAAUUUUUCUGAGC